GUGCUUUGUGGGGAUCCCUGAGGAUCCUGCUGGUGCUGGUCAGGAGCCUGCUCCUCUGUUGGCACCAUGUGGCUCCACAUGGCCACUUAGUCCGAGCUAAGGGGGCCCUUGCUAAGCAGCGGGCUCCCUAAGUGGGUUUCCUGCCUUGCUGCCAGGAGCCAGGUGGCUCUUGGCGAUUCUCAUGCACAGAAGACCAGGCUUGGCUGCCUUGGCCUGAUCUUGGCUAGGCGUGAGAACAGCCUCAAUAAAUGCUCCUAAAGAAACAAUGUGACUUUAGAGCUGUGAAGGGUCCUAAAAAAAACCAAGUGUUGCAUAUAUUCCCCCCUCCCCAAAUCAUUUUCUUCCGGGGGGAGGACAGGAAAAAAGUGUUUUUCCAUGACUUCAAAAUUUUUGGAAAUUUUACACCUCUACCCUUGUCCCCCACUUGGACAGUAUUUCUACUUUGCCAACCAUGCGAACCUUUCUAACACUUUAGGGCAAAAUUCAGGGAUCGAUAGAGCCACUUGCCUGGUCAUCUGUGGUAAGAAAGAACUGACAGUCUGUGACUAGGUGGAGAAGUUUUACAAAAGCUGGACUGAGAACGGAAUGGGAGGCUGUGUUGUUGUUUUGCACACAAAUGAUUAACAAGUAUAUAAAUAGGCAAUGGGGGGGAAAUCGGCUAGUGAUUUUUGUGGCCUAAUUUUGCAAGACUGGUGAAACUGAUUACUGGUGAAGACUAAUGCAAAAGAUUAUUAAAUUUAUUUCCUAUGUGGCUAGGCUGACUUACGACAGGAACAUUCUGGGAGGAAGUACUAACUGGGACUGAUGCGCCAAGAAUCCAUAUGAAAUUAUUUUCCUAGAAGGGGUACAAAAUGGUUUUGCCCAUAACACCUGGUAGAACAUAAGCACCAUUAAAAAGGAAUGAAUGUUUCCAAACUCAACUGGAUGUCAUAAGCAGGUCCAACGCUCACAACAUUGAAAGAACAUAUACAGUUCUAAGAGGAAAUACAAAGGCAUUCCAUCACGGUUUGGCAGUCUGUUCAACUUCGUACAAGGACAUCCAUCUACUCUCCACGCAGAUAAAAGAGUUCUGUCACCUACUUCAGAGACUGGAUUGAAAGGAAAACCAACAUUCUUAACGUCAAAAAACACAACUCUCUUUAAGGAAUCAAAAAUGUGCAAAGUGGCAGUGGCUGUCCAGAUCAGACAAUUUAAAAACAAAACAAAAGAAUGAAAGAAAAAAAAAUGUUUUUAAAAAUUAGCAAGUCUGCAGGUGUUCUAAUUUUUUUAUCAACUGCUGUUGCCUGACUUGCAAUUUUUCCUUUUCGAGCAAUAACUUGUGCUCCUCAGCCUGUAGGGAAUGAACACACUCAGUGGCUUUUUUCAAGAUGACAACUUUUGCUGCCUUUUCAUUUUUAACCAGUUCUGGCACAUGGUCCCUUAACGUAAGGAAACUUGACCUCAGAUCAUUACGCCGCUGGCGCUCCAGAAUGUUGUGGUUCCGUCGACGCUCACUGUCUUCCGAGUCAGAGUUUCGAGGACUGGAGCUCUUGGGCUUUGGCUGAGUCAUGGGCUUCAUUGGACGGGGUGCUUCAUUUUUUACCUUUUUCUGGGGUGGCGCAUCUUCACUUUCCAUAUAGGGAGAAGGUGCGGCAUAGUUAUGUUGCUGGUGGAUAGGGGCGCAGCGCUUUAGGAUGACUUCAUUUGGCUGAGUUCUCACAGAGGCAAAGGCAGUGGCAUUUUUAGGGCGCACCGUAAUAGUCAGAGUUGUAACAGCUUUGUUGGAUGAGGAGCGCCUCUUUUCCACCGUUACCACAUCUAUUUCUUCUUCAUCAUCCUCUUCUUCUUCGUCUUCAUCUUUGAAAAGAAAGAAAUAAAGAAACCCAAAAAGUUAUUCUCUCAGGCAAACAUACCAGAAGGCUCUGAAGCAUUUAGCAUUAAUUAGCAUAAUGUGUGCUAAAUAAAAGCAAUUCCCAGGGCAAAUGCCAAUGUAUAAAUAUUUAAGUGCUAAACAUAUGCAGUGCAGUCAGGAGAACAGCAUUUGAAGGUAAAAAGCAAGAUUUUAUACUCAAGCCUAACAGACUACAUUAAUUGUAGCCAGCACACCUUUAAUAAAGAGUGGUUAUACCUCCAUCUAAAAUACUGAAACGAAUGGGAUUCAAGCUACAUGAAAUAAAUGCAAUCACAAUCUAAAUAACCACAGAAGGGUGAAAUGUAUAUUAAAAAGAAACACCCUAAUUUGCAUUUCAAUCAACCAUUUUGUUCUUUUAAAUUACAUGGGCAAAAUGCACAGGCACAUAUACACCAACACACCUUGCUUGAUUGAAAAAGGGCUGGAAAACUGAACAAUCGUUGGAUUUGUUCUAACAGAGAAUGCAAAGCUGUUCCAGUUGGUAGGUCCCUUUAAGCCAAAGUUUUGGUUUACUGCCAAGAAGACAGCUGUUGGGAGGAAGUGCUCCCUCACUCAAAGCUGUCAGGAUGCAGACAUGAAGGGGGCAAUGAAGUCUUUUGAAACAGGAGGCUGAUCAUCAAGUUUAUGAUUAUGGUCAUAUGGAUCCACUCAUUUACAUAAGAGAAACUUUGUUUAUGACUAUACCAGAUUUUCUUCUCUUUUCCCUUAAGAGUGUAGAUUGUUCCCCUGACCUUAAAGCUAGCAUUCUACAUUUUGCUCUGCUGAGAUCAAAGAUGGAUAUUUGUCUGCUAGUCAUUGCAUAGCUGAAUUAUGAGGUCUUGUGAAAAUAGUCUGCCCCACCCCUCUGAAAAUAGUCUGCACAACAUUUUUUUUUUUUUUACAGGAACAGAGCCUUUGAGGGCAGCAGAAAUGGAAUAAACUUGCAUUGAGAUGUUUAGCAUAAGUGUAUAAAAUAAAGGAAUCUCUUCCUUUCA
Molecule: long non-coding RNA, 2865 nt
Organism: Hemicordylus capensis (graceful crag lizard)
Lineage: Eukaryota; Metazoa; Chordata; Lepidosauria; Squamata; Cordylidae
Exons: 2
Source: RefSeq, a predicted model, not a curated record